RNAcentral lists this transfer RNA (77 nucleotides) under Mycobacterium szulgai. RNAcentral's name for it is "tRNA-Phe". It matches the Rfam family "tRNA". Rfam says of the family: Transfer RNA (tRNA) molecules are approximately 80 nucleotides in length. Their secondary structure includes four short double-helical elements and three loops (D, anti-codon, and T loops). Further hydrogen bonds mediate the characteristic L-shaped molecular structure. tRNAs have two regions of fundamental functional importance: the anti-codon, which is responsible for specific mRNA codon recognition, and the 3' end, to which the tRNAs corresponding amino acid is attached (by aminoacyl-tRNA synthetases). tRNAs cope with the degeneracy of the genetic code in two manners: having more than one tRNA (with a specific anti-codon) for a particular amino acid; and 'wobble' base-pairing, i.e. permitting non-standard base-pairing at the 3rd anti-codon position. RNAcentral also lists the same sequence under 1 other name. The record is from RNAcentral. Lineage: Bacteria; Bacillati; Actinomycetota; Actinomycetes; Mycobacteriales; Mycobacteriaceae.
GGCCAGGUAGCUCAGUCGGUACGAGCGUCCGCCUGAAAAGCGGAAGGUCGGCGGUUCGAUCCCGCCCCUGGCCACUA